RNAcentral lists this ribosomal RNA (301 nucleotides) under uncultured bacterium. Its description in RNAcentral is "partial 16S ribosomal RNA". It matches the Rfam family "Bacterial small subunit ribosomal RNA", at positions 509 to 807 of the family's 1533-position model. The record is from RNAcentral.
CAGUCGCCGCGGUAAUACAGAGGGUGCGAGCGUUAAUCGGAUUUACUGGGCGUAAAGCGUGCGUAGGUGGUGGUUUAAGUCCGUUGUGAAAGCCCUGGGCUCAACCUGGGAAUUGCAGUGGAUACUGGGUCACUAGAGUGUGGUAGAGGAUAGUGGAAUUUCCGGUGUAGCAGUGAAAUGCGUAGAGAUCGGAAGGAACAUCUGUGGCGAAGGCGACUAUCUGGGCCAACACUGACACUGAGGCACGAAAGCGUGGGGAGCAAACAGGAUUAGAUACCCCGGUAGUCCCUGUCUCUUAUAC